UAAUAUAUAUAUAAAAGUGUCAGACCUUCCGGAACAUUUUCAAAAGUUAAGUUGAAAAAGUUAAUUUUUUGUGAAAAAGUUGUCAUUUUAAAUCCCCCCUUGUGGGCAGGUUAAGGGUUAAAUUUAUGAAAAAAAUAUACCAAAUGAAAGGUAAUGAUAUUAUGCAUCUAUAUAAAAAAAAAAUUAUAUUGAUAUGUUCAUUUUUGAAAAAAUUAUGGCACUUUUAAGUAAAAAAAAUUGAAAAAAUUUCGAGAAUUAGCGAUUUUUAAAUUUGUAAUUUUUUUGGUGAUUUUCCCUCAUUUACGGGGAACGAGGGAAUUUUUUUCAAAUUUUGAGGGUAGUGUCUUCGACUAAAUAUGAUUUGUGAUCUUUUGAUGUAUCAUUGAAAGAAAUCAGUAUAGUGAGAGCUGAGAAAAAGUGGUAACAGAGACAAAAAAAAAAAAACACAUCUUAGUAAAACCAAUCGC
Long non-coding RNA from Daktulosphaira vitifoliae (grape phylloxera), 467 nucleotides. RefSeq lists it as uncharacterized. The transcript has 2 exons. Lineage: Eukaryota; Metazoa; Arthropoda; Insecta; Hemiptera; Phylloxeridae. The record is from RefSeq and is a predicted model, not a curated record.